GUGGGGAAUAUUGGACAAUGGGGGGAACCCUGAUCCAGCCAUGCCGCGUGUGUGAAGAAGGCCUUUUGGUUGUGAAGCACUUUAAGCGAGGAGGAGGCUACCGAUAUUAAUACUCUUGGAUAGUGGACGUUACUCGCAGAAUAAGCACCGGCUAACUCUGUGCCAGCAGCCGCGGUAAUACAGAGGGUGCAAGCGUUAAUCGGAUUUACUGGGCGUAAAGCGCGCGUAGGUGGCCAAUUAAGUCAAAUGUGAAAUCCCCGAGCUUAACUUGGGAAUUGCAUUCGAUACUGGUUGGCUAGAGUAUGGGAGAGGAUGGUAGAAUUCCAGGUGUAGCGGUGAAAUGCGUAGAGAUCUGGAGGAAUACCGAUGGCGAAGGCAGCCAUCUGGCCUAAUACUGACACUGAGGUGCGAAAGCAUGGGGAGCAAACAGGAUUAGAAACCCCGGUAAUCC
Molecule: ribosomal RNA, 451 nt
Filed under: uncultured bacterium
Lineage: Bacteria
Description: partial 16S ribosomal RNA
Rfam family: Bacterial small subunit ribosomal RNA
Source: RNAcentral